UCCAGACUCCUACGGGAGGCAGCAGUGGGGAAUAUUGGGCAAUGGACGCAAGUCUGACCCAGCAACGCCGCGUGAAGGAAGAAGGCUUUCGGGUUGUAAACUUCUUUUAAGGGGGAAGAGUAGAAGACGGUACCCCUUGAAUAAGCCACGGCUAACUACGUGCCAGCAGCCGCGGUAAUACGUAGGUGGCAAGCGUUGUCCGGAUUUACUGGGUGUAAAGGGCGUGUAGCCGGGCUGACAAGUCAGAUGUGAAAGCCGGGGGCUCAACCCCCGAACUGCAUUUGAAACUGUUGGUCGUGAGUAUCGGAGAGGCAGGCGGAAUUCCUAGUGUAGCGGUGAAAUGCGUAGAUAUUAGGAGGAACACCAGUGGCGAAGGCGGCCUGCUGGACGACAACUGACGGUGAGGCGCGAAAGCGUGGGGAGCAAGCAGGAUUAGAUACCCCUGUA
RNAcentral lists this ribosomal RNA (447 nucleotides) under uncultured bacterium. Its description in RNAcentral is "bacterial SSU rRNA". It matches the Rfam family "Bacterial small subunit ribosomal RNA", at positions 330 to 792 of the family's 1533-position model. The record is from RNAcentral.